This 740-nucleotide ribosomal RNA is filed under the name uncultured bacterium. Its description in RNAcentral is "bacterial SSU rRNA". It matches the Rfam family "Bacterial small subunit ribosomal RNA", at positions 28 to 794 of the family's 1533-position model. The record is from RNAcentral.
AAUCAACGCUGGCGGCGCGCUUAACACAUGCAAGUCGAACGAGAAAGGGUCCUUCGGGGCCUGAGUAAAGUGGCGGACGGGUGAGUAACACGUGGGUUACCUGCCCUCGAGUGGGGAAUAACUCCGGGAAACUGGAGCUAAUACCGCAUACGACCCUUCGGGGUGAAAGGCUUCGGUCGCUCGAGGAUGGGCCCGCGGUCGAUUAGCUAGUUGGUAGGGUAAAGGCCUACCAAGGCACCGAUCGAUAGCCGGCCUGAGAGGGCACACGGCCACACUGGCACUGAGACACGGGCCAGACUCCUACGGGAGGCAGCAGUGGGGAAUCUUGGACAAUGGGGGAAACCCUGAUCCAGCGACGCCGCGUGACCGAUGAAGGCCCUCGGGUCGUAAAGGUCUUCGACGGGGAACAAUAGUGAUGGUACCCGUAUAAGAAGGAGCGGCUAACUACGUGCCAGCAGCCGCGGUAAUACGUAGGCUCCAAGCGUUGUUCGGAAUUACUGGGCGUAAAGCGAGUGUAGGCGGUCCGUCAAGUCGGUUGUGAAAUCUCCUGGCUCAACUGGGAGGGUGCGACCGAAACUGACGGACUAGAGUCUGGGAGAGGAGAGUGGAAUUCCUGGUGGUAGCGGUGAAAUGCGUAGAUAUCAGGAGGAACACCGGUGGUGAAGACGGCUCUCUGGACCGGUACUGACGCUGAGACUCGAAAGCGUGGGGAGCAAACAGGAUUAGAUACCCGGGGUAGU